GGACCACUCCUGCGGGAGUUAAGGCCAUACGGACAGCCGGGUCCACUGCCGA
Molecule: small RNA, 52 nt
Filed under: Ruminococcaceae bacterium D16
Lineage: Bacteria; Bacillati; Bacillota; Clostridia; Eubacteriales; Oscillospiraceae
Description: Streptococcus sRNA SpF59 (ldcC RNA)
Rfam family: Streptococcus sRNA SpF59 (ldcC RNA)
Source: Rfam by way of RNAcentral